UAUUUUUAGGAAUAGCGUUAGAUUAUUGGGAAUAUGGGGGUAAAGCACUGAAUCUAUGAUGGCGCCACCUCGGUGUACUGAAUAGAAUCAAACUCUGAAUACCAUAUUACCUAUUCUAGCAGUCAGACAGUGGGGGAUAAGCUUCAUUGUCGCGAGGGAAACAGCCCAGAUCAUUAACUAAGGUCCCUAAUAUAUGCUAAGUGGAAAACGAUGUUGAGUUUCAUAAACAGCAAGGAUGUUGGCUUAGAAGCAGCCACCGUUUAAAGAGUGCGUAACAGCUCACUUGUCGAGAGACUCUGCGCGGAAGAUGUAACGGGGCUAAGCAUAUAACCGAAGUUAUGGGUUACAUAUUAUAUAUGUAGCGGUAGACGAGUGUUGUAUAUGGGGCGAAGGUAGACUGUGAAGACUACUGGACUUUAUACAAGUAAGAAUGCUGGCGUGAGUAACGAAUGAGAGUGAGAAUCUCUCAAACCGAUUGACUAAGGGUUCCUGGGCAAGGGUCGUCCUCCCAGGGUAAGUCGGAUCCUAAGGCGAGGCUGAAAAGCGUAGUCGAUGGAAAACAGGUUAAUAUUCCUGUACCUACAAAUUGUGUGAUGGAGUGACGGAGAAGGUUAUUAUGUGCCGGUUAUUGGAUUCCGGUUUAAAUAACAAGGUUAGUAAGUUGGCAAAUCCGCUUACUAUUAGGACCAAGUUAUGAAUACGAGCGACCCCUUCGGGCAGUAGCGAAGACAUAUACAUCAUGCUUCCAAGAAAAGCUUCUAGCCUUAAACAAUUGGUAGUCCGUACCGAGAACGAACACACGUGGUCAAGGAGAAUAUCCUAAGGUUAGCGAGUUAACUACAGUUAAGGAACUCUGCAAAUUAACCCCGUACGUUAGCAAUAAGGGGUGCUCGCUGUAAAAGGUGAGCCGCAGUGAAUAGCGAGGGGGGACUGUUUAACAAAAACACAGCUCUAUGCUAAGUCGUAAGACGAUGUAUAUGGGGUGACACCUGCCCAAUGCUGUAAGGUUAAAGAAGAAUGUUAGCGCAAGCGAAGCUUUUAACUGAAGCCCCAGUGAAUGGCGGCCGUAACUAUAACGGUCCUAAGGUAGCGAAAUUCCUUGUCGGGUAAAUUCCGUCCCGCUUGAAUGGUGUAACCAUCUCUUGACUGUCUCAACUGUAGACUCGGUGAAAUCCUGGUGAGGGUGAAGACGCCCUCUUGGCGUGAUUGGACGGAAAGACCCCAUGAAGCUUUACUGUAGCUUAAUAUUGGGAAAUUUUAUUACUUGUAGAGCAUAGGUAGGAGACUGUGAAGUAUACUCGCUAGGGUAUAUGGAGUCAACGUUGGAAUACUACCCUUGUGAUAAGAUUUCUCUAACCUGCAGCCAUGAAUCUGGCUGGGGGACAGUGUUAGGUGGGCAGUUUGACUGGGGCG
This 1413-nucleotide ribosomal RNA is filed under the name human metagenome. Its description in RNAcentral is "bacterial LSU rRNA". It matches the Rfam family "Bacterial large subunit ribosomal RNA", at positions 865 to 2281 of the family's 2925-position model. The record is from RNAcentral.